Molecule: ribosomal RNA, 908 nt
Filed under: Thaxterogaster vibratilis
Lineage: Eukaryota; Fungi; Basidiomycota; Agaricomycetes; Agaricales; Cortinariaceae
Description: partial large subunit ribosomal RNA
Rfam family: Eukaryotic large subunit ribosomal RNA
Source: RNAcentral
CAAGGAUUCCCCUAGUAACUGCGAGUGAAGCGGGAAAAGCCCAAAUUUAAAAUCUGACAGUCUUUGGCUGUCCGAGUUGUAAUCUAGAGAAGCAUUAUCCGCGCUGGACCGUGUUCAAGUCUCCUGGAAUGGAGCGUCAUAGAGGGUGAGAAUCCCGUCUUUGACACGGACUGCCAGGGCUUUUGUGAUGUGCUCUCAAAGAGUCGAGUUGUUUGGGAAUGCAGCUCAAAAUGGGUGGUAAAUUCCAUCUUAAGCUAAAUAUUGGCGAGAGACCGAUAGCGAACAAGUACCGUGAGGGAAAGAUGAAAAGAACUUUGGAAAGAGAGUUAAACAGUACGUGAAAUUGCUGAAAGGGAAACGCUUGAAGUCAGUCACAUUGCCCAGGGAUCAGCCUUGCUUUAGCUUGGUGUACUUUCUGGUUGAUGGGUCAGCAUCAAUUUUGACUAUUGGAAAAAGAUUAAGGCAAUGUAGCAUCUUCGGAUGUGUUUAUAGCCCUUGGUUGCAUACAAUGGUUGGGAUUGAGGAACUCAGCACGCCGCAAGGCCGGGUUUUUAACCACGUACGUGCUUUGGAUGCUGGCACAAUGGGUUUAAUCGACCCGUCUUGAAACACGGACCAAGGAGUCUAACAUACCUGCAAGUGUUUGGGUGGAAAACCCGAGCGCGUAAUGAAAGUGAAAGUUCAGAUCCCUGUCAUGGGGAGCAUCGACGCCUGGACCAGACGUUUUGUGACGGUUCCACGGAAGAGCAUGUAUGUAGGGACCCGAAAGAUGGUGAACUAUGCCUGAAUAGGGUGAAGCCAGAGGAAACUCUGGUGGAGGCUCGUAGCGAUUCUGACGUGCAAAUCGAUCGUCAAAUUUGGGUAUAGGGGCGAAAGACUAAUCGAACCAUCUAGUAGCUGGUUCCUGC